UGGGAUUGUUCAUCAUCUGGGUGA
RNAcentral lists this unclassified non-coding RNA (24 nucleotides) under Mus musculus (house mouse). RNAcentral describes it as "oocyte_clustered_small_RNA741". Lineage: Eukaryota; Metazoa; Chordata; Mammalia; Rodentia; Muridae. The record is from RNAcentral.